RNAcentral lists this ribosomal RNA (440 nucleotides) under uncultured bacterium. RNAcentral describes it as "partial 16S ribosomal RNA". It matches the Rfam family "Bacterial small subunit ribosomal RNA", at positions 338 to 795 of the family's 1533-position model. The record is from RNAcentral.
CCUACGGGAGGCUGCAGUGGGGAAUAUUGCACAAUGGGCGAAACCCUGAUGCAGCGACGCCGCGUGAGUGAAGAAGUAAUUCGGUAUGUAAAGCACUAUCAGCAGGGAAGAAAAUGACGUUACCAGAGUCAGAAGCACCGGCUAACUACGUGCCAGCAGCCGCGGUAAUACGGAGGGGGCGAGCGUUAUCUGGAUUUACUGGGGGGAAAGGGAGUGUAGACGGCAGUGCAAGUCUGGAGUGAAAGGCGCGGGCUCAACCCGGGGACUGCUCUGGAAACUGGACGGCUGGAGUGCAGGAGAGGUGAGUAGAAUUCCUAGUGUAGCGGUGAAAUGCGUAGAUAUUAGGAGGAACACCAGUGGCGAAGGCGGCUUACUGGACGGUAACUGACGUUGAGGCUCGAAAGCGUGGGGAGCAAACAGGAUUAGAUACCCCAGUAGUC